RNAcentral lists this small nucleolar RNA (82 nucleotides) under Zea mays. Lineage: Eukaryota; Viridiplantae; Streptophyta; Magnoliopsida; Poales; Poaceae. The record is from RNAcentral.
CUGGAGGCUGUGAUGACAAAAACUACCUACCUGUUUUCUGACUCAUGACGGUAGAAACCAAUGGAUGCUUCUGAGCCUUCCU